UCAUUUGGCAAUCAUGUGGUUUUCAAACGAAAAUAGAAAGGAUCGCGGACCAGGUGACAGAUACCCACGUUUCUAUACAACACAAAGUUUAUUCAUUUUAACUCUCCUUAAUUAUAUCUUUCAAAUUAUUAUAUUUUCUUCUUCAAUGUGGUAGUUUAUCGAUCGGUUUUAUAUCCUGCGAUUCCCUACUAAGCCCUGUUUUAUAUUUUCUUGUAAGGAAAAC
Cinara cedri is the source of this 223-nucleotide non-coding RNA. The record is from the annotation of a GenBank genome assembly. Lineage: Eukaryota; Metazoa; Arthropoda; Insecta; Hemiptera; Aphididae.